This 643-nucleotide ribosomal RNA is filed under the name uncultured bacterium. Its description in RNAcentral is "bacterial SSU rRNA". It matches the Rfam family "Bacterial small subunit ribosomal RNA", at positions 35 to 697 of the family's 1533-position model. The record is from RNAcentral.
GCUGGCGGCGUGCCUAACACAUGCAAGUCGAGCGAUGAAACCCUUCGGGGUGGAUUAGCGGCGGACGGGUGAGUAACACGUGGGUAACCUGCCUCAAAGAGGGGAAUAGCCUUCCGAAAGGAAGAUUAAUACCGCAUAAUAUGUUUUGAUCGCAUGAUCUGAACAUCAAAGGAGUAAUCCGCUUUGAGAUGGACCCGCGGCGCAUUAGCUAGUUGGUGAGGUAACGGCUCACCAAGGCGACGAUGCGUAGCCGACCUGAGAGGGUGAUCGGCCACAUUGGAACUGAGACACGGUCCAGACUCCUACGGGAGGCAGCAGUGGGGAAUAUUGCGCAAUGGGGGAAACCCUGACGCAGCAACGCCGCGUGAAUGAUGAAGGCCUUCGGGUUGUAAAGUUCUGUCUUCUGGGACGAUAAUGACGGUACCAGAGGAGGAAGCCACGGCUAACUACGUGCCAGCAGCCGCGGUAAUACGUAGGUGGCAAGCGUUGUCCGGAUUUACUGGGCGUAAAGGAUGCGUAGGCGGACAUUUAAGUCAGAUGUGAAAUACCCGAGCUUAACUUGGGUGCUGCAUUUGAAACUGAGUGUCUAGAGUGCAGGAGAAGUAAGUGGAAUUCCUAGUGUAGCGGUGAAAUGCGUAGAGAU